This 411-nucleotide ribosomal RNA is filed under the name uncultured microorganism. Its description in RNAcentral is "bacterial SSU rRNA". It matches the Rfam family "Archaeal small subunit ribosomal RNA", at positions 330 to 745 of the family's 1478-position model. The record is from RNAcentral.
GUGCACCAGGCGAGAAACCUCCGCAAUACACGAAAGUGUGACGGGCCAUCCCGAGUGCCGUCCGCUGAGGACGGCUUUUCCCAGUGUACACAGCUGGGGGAAUAAGGAGAGGGCAAGCCUGGUGUCAGCCGCCGCGGUAAUACCAGCUCUCCGGGUGGUGGGGACGCUUAUUGGGCCUAAAGCAUCCGUAGCCGGCUGGGCAAGUCCUCCGUUAAAUCCAACGAUUCAAUCGUUGGGCUGCGGGGAUACUGUCCAGCUUGGGGGCGGGAGAGGCCGACGGUAUUCCCGGGGUGGGGGUGGAAAUCCUAUAAAUCCCGGGAGGACCACCAGUGGCGAAGGCUGUCGGCUAGAACGCGCCCGACGGUGAGGGAUGAAAGCUGGGGAGCGAACCGGAUUAGAUACCCCUGUAGU